GAUGAAGAACGCAGCGAAAUGCGAUAAGUAAUGUGAAUUGCAGAAUUCAGUGAAUCAUCGAAUCUUUGAACGCACAUUGCGCCCUCUGGUAUUCCGGGGGGCAUGCCUGUUCCAGCGUCAUUAUAACCACUCAAGCUCUCGCUUGGUAUUGGGGUUCGCGGUUUCGCGGCCCCUAAAAUCAGUGGCGGUGCCUGUCGGCUCUACGCGUAGUAAUACUUCUCGCGAUUGAGUUCGAUAGGUCUACUUGCCAGUAACCCCCAAUUUUUACAGGUUGACCUCGGAUCAGGUAGGGAUACCCGCUGAACUUAAGCAUAUCAAUAAGCGGAGGA
RNAcentral lists this unclassified non-coding RNA (329 nucleotides) under soil metagenome. Its description in RNAcentral is "partial contains 5.8S ribosomal RNA, internal transcribed spacer 2, and large subunit ribosomal RNA". The stretch from base 1 to 120 matches the Rfam family "5.8S ribosomal RNA", at positions 35 to 154 of the family's 154-position model. The record is from RNAcentral.